GACGAACCGGACAAACGUUAUUCGGAAUUAUUGGGCUUAAAGGGUGUGUAGGCGGCCAUGUAAGUCGGGUGUGAAAUCCCUCAGCUCAACUGAGGAACUGCGCCCGAUACUGCACGGCUCGAGGGAGACAGGGGUGAGCGGAACUGAUGGUGGAGCGGUGAAAUGCGUUGAUAUCAUCAGGAACACCGGUGGCGAAAGCGGCUCACUGGGUCUCUUCUGACGCUGAGACACGAAAGCUAGGGUAGCGAAC
Molecule: ribosomal RNA, 250 nt
Filed under: uncultured bacterium
Lineage: Bacteria
Description: partial 16S ribosomal RNA
Rfam family: Bacterial small subunit ribosomal RNA
Source: RNAcentral